GGUUAAGCGACUAAGCGUACACGGUGGAUGCCCUGGCAGUCAGAGGCGAUGAAGGACGUGCUAAUCUGCGAAAAGCGUCGGUAAGGUGAUAUGAACCGUUACAGCCGGCGAUGUCCGAAUGGGGAAACCCAGUGCAAUUCGUUGCACUAUCGUUAACUGAAUACAUAGGUUAACGAGGCGAACCGGGGGAACUGAAACAUCUAAGUACCCCGAGGAAAAGAAAUCAACCGAGAUUCCCCCAGUAGCGGCGAGCGAACGGGGAGCAGCCCAGAGUCUGAAUCAGCUUGUGUGUUAGUGGAACGGUCUGGAAAGUCCGACGGUACAGGGUGAUAGUCCCGUACACCAAAAUGCACAGGUUGUGAACUCGAAGAGUAGGGCGGGACACGUGGUAUCCUGUCUGAAUAUGGGGGGACCAUCCUCCAAGGCUAAAUACUCCUGACUGACCGAUAGUGAACCAGUACCGUGAGGGAAAGGCGAAAAGAACCCCGGCGAGGGGAGUGAAAAAGAACCUGAAACCGUGUACGUACAAGCAGUGGGAGCACCUUCGGGUGUGACUGCGUACCUUUUGUAUAAUGGGUCAGCGACUUAUAUUCUGUAGCAAGGUUAACCGUAUAGGGGAGCCGCAGGGAAACCGAGUCUUAACUGGGCGUUAAGUUGCAGGGUAUAGACCCGAAACCCGGUGAUCUAGCCAUGGGCAGGUUGAAGGUUGGGUAACACUAACUGGAGGACCGAACCGACUAAUGUUGAAAAAUUAGCGGAUGACUUGUGGCUGGGGGUGAAAGGCCAAUCAAACCGGGAGAUAGCUGGUUCUCCCCGAAAGCUAUUUAGGUAGCGCCUCGUGAACUCAUCUUCGGGGGUAGAGCACUGUUUCGGCUAGGGGGUCAUCCCGACUUACCAACCCGAUGCAAACUACGAAUACCGAAGAAUGUUAUCACGGGAGACACACGGCGGGUGCUAACGUCCGUCGUGAAGAGGGAAACAACCCAGACCGCCAGCUAAGGUCCCAAAGUCAUGGUUAAGUGGGAAACGAUGUGGGAAGGCACAGACAGCCAGGAUGUUGGCUUAGAAGCAGCCAUCAUUUAAAGAAAGCGUAAUAGCUCACUGGUCGAGUCGGCCUGCGCGGAAGAUGUAACGGGGCUAAACCAUGCACCGAAGCUGCGGCAGCGACACUAUGUGUUGUUGGGUAGGGGAGCGUUCUGUAAGCCUGCGAAGGUGACCUGUGAGGGUUGCUGGAGGUAUCAGAAGUGCGAAUGCUGACAUAAGUAACGAUAAAGCGGGUGAAAAGCCCGCUCGCCGGAAGACCAAGGGUUCCUGUCCAACGUUAAUCGGGGCAGGGUGAGUCGACCCCUAAGGCGAGGCCGAAAGGCGUAGUCGAUGGGAAACAGGUUAAUAUUCCUGUACUUGGUGUUACUGCGAAGGGGGGACGGAGAAGGCUAUGUUAGCCGGGCGACGGUUGUCCCGGUUUAAGCAUGUAGGCUGGUUGUCCAGGCAAAUCCGGAUAAUCAAGGCUGAGGUGUGAUGACGAGGCACUACGGUGCUGAAGUAACAAAUGCCCUGCUUCCAGGAAAAGCCUCUAAGCAUCAGGUAACAUCAAAUCGUACCCCAAACCGACACAGGUGGUCAGGUAGAGAAUACCAAGGCGCUUGAGAGAACUCGGGUGAAGGAACUAGGCAAAAUGGUGCCGUAACUUCGGGAGAAGGCACGCUGGUGUGUAGGUGAAGUCCCUGCGGAUGGAGCUGAGACCAGUCGAAGAUACCAGCUGGCUGCAACUGUUUAUUAAAAACACAGCACUGUGCAAACACGAAAGUGGACGUAUACGGUGUGACGCCUGCCCGGUGCCGGAAGGUUAAUUGAUGGGGUUAUCCGUAAGGAGAAGCUCUUGAUCGAAGCCCCGGUAAACGGCGGCCGUAACUAUAACGGUCCUAAGGUAGCGAAAUUCCUUGUCGGGUAAGUUCCGACCUGCACGAAUGGCGUAAUGAUGGCCAGGCUGUCUCCACCCGAGACUCAGUGAAAUUGAACUCGCUGUGAAGAUGCAGUGUACCCGCGGCAAGACGGAAAGACCCCGUGAACCUUUACUAUAGCUUGACACUGAACAUUGAGCCUUGAUGUGUAGGAUAGGUGGGAGGCUUUGAAGCGUGGACGCCAGUCUGCGUGGAGCCAACCUUGAAAUACCACCCUUUAAUGUUUGAUGUUCUAACGUUGGCCCCUUACCGGGGUUGCGGACAGUGUCUGGUGGGUAGUUUGACUGGGGCGGUCUCCUCCCAAAGCGUAACGGAGGAGCACGAAGGUUAGCUAAUCCUGGUCGGACAUCAGGAGGUUAGUGCAAUGGCAUAAGCUAGCUUGACUGCGAGCGUGACGGCGCGAGCAGGUGCGAAAGCAGGUCAUAGUGAUCCGGUGGUUCUGAAUGGAAGGGCCAUCGCUCAACGGAUAAAAGGUACUCCGGGGAUAACAGGCUGAUACCGCCCAAGAGUUCAUAUCGACGGCGGUGUUUGGCACCUCGAUGUCGGCUCAUCACAUCCUGGGGCUGAAGUAGGUCCCAAGGGUAUGGCUGUUCGCCAUUUAAAGUGGUACGCGAGCUGGGUUUAGAACGUCGUGAGACAGUUCGGUCCCUAUCUGCCGUGGGCGCUGGAGAAUUGAGGGGGGCUGCUCCUAGUACGAGAGGACCGGAGUGGACGCAUCACUGGUGUUCGGGUUGUCAUGCCAAUGGCACUGCCCGGUAGCUAAAUGCGGAAGAGAUAAGUGCUGAAAGCAUCUAAGCACGAAACUUGCCCCGAGAUGAGUUCUCCCUGAGACUUUAAGUCUCCUGAAGGAACGUUAAAGACGAUGACGUUGAUAGGCCGGGUGUGUAAGCGCAGCGAUGCGUUGAGCUAACCGGUACUAAUGAACCGUGAGGCUUAACCUU
RNAcentral lists this ribosomal RNA (2902 nucleotides) under Klebsiella pneumoniae. RNAcentral describes it as "23S ribosomal RNA". It matches the Rfam family "Bacterial large subunit ribosomal RNA". The record is from RNAcentral. RNAcentral also lists the same sequence under 1 other name. Lineage: Bacteria; Pseudomonadati; Pseudomonadota; Gammaproteobacteria; Enterobacterales; Enterobacteriaceae.